Long non-coding RNA from Gadus morhua (Atlantic cod), 270 nucleotides. RefSeq lists it as uncharacterized. The record is from RefSeq and is a predicted model, not a curated record. NCBI's taxonomy places the organism in Eukaryota, Metazoa, Chordata, Actinopteri, Gadiformes, Gadidae. The transcript is spliced from 7 exons.
AGAUGGAGGAAAUUACCAAUACAGGCAAUAACAAUGAAAAGGCUAAUCUAAUACGUGAGAAGCAAAAGAAAAAACAGGAACUGGAUACGGAUUUAACUGAAUUGAUUGAUCAACUUCUGGAGGAAACAAAGGAACAGAAGAUGAAGUUAACUGGUGGAGCUGCUGGAGAAGGGACAGCUCGUUACACAUCCACACCUCUCCUCUCUCCGGAGCUUCCUGCAGGUCUAGAGACAUCCAUCCCUCCAGCUCCCUCCAGUGAAACACAGCCUG